UGGGGUGUAGCUCAGAGGUAGAGCACAUGCCUAGCAUGUGUGAGGCCCUGUGUUUGAUCCCCAGCAUCACAU
RNAcentral lists this transfer RNA (72 nucleotides) under Marmota marmota marmota (Alpine marmot). It matches the Rfam family "tRNA". Rfam says of the family: Transfer RNA (tRNA) molecules are approximately 80 nucleotides in length. Their secondary structure includes four short double-helical elements and three loops (D, anti-codon, and T loops). Further hydrogen bonds mediate the characteristic L-shaped molecular structure. tRNAs have two regions of fundamental functional importance: the anti-codon, which is responsible for specific mRNA codon recognition, and the 3' end, to which the tRNAs corresponding amino acid is attached (by aminoacyl-tRNA synthetases). tRNAs cope with the degeneracy of the genetic code in two manners: having more than one tRNA (with a specific anti-codon) for a particular amino acid; and 'wobble' base-pairing, i.e. permitting non-standard base-pairing at the 3rd anti-codon position. RNAcentral also lists the same sequence under 2 other names. The record is from Rfam by way of RNAcentral. Lineage: Eukaryota; Metazoa; Chordata; Mammalia; Rodentia; Sciuridae.